CAUUACCGAGUUGAUUCGGGCUCCGGCCCGAUCCCUCCCACCCUUUGUGUACCUACCUCUGUUGCUUUGGCGGGCCGCGGUCCUCCGCGGCCGCCCCCCUCCCCGGGGGGUGGCCAGCGCCCGCCAGAGGACCAUCAAACUCCAGUCAGUAAACGAUGCAGUCUGAAAAACAUUUAAUAAACUAAAACUUUCAACAACGGAUCUCUUGGUUCUGGCAUCGAUGAAGAACGCAGCGAAAUGCGAUAAGUAAUGUGAAUUGCAGAAUUCAGUGAAUCAUCGAAUCUUUGAACGCACAUUGCGCCCUUUGGUAUUCCGAAGGGCAUGCCUGUUCGAGCGUCAUUACAACCCUCAAGCUCUGCUUGGUAUUGGGCACCGUCCUUUGCGGGCGCGCCUCAAAGACCUCGGCGGUGGCGUCUUGCCUCAAGCGUAGUAGAACAUACAUCUCGCUUCGGAGCGCAGGGCGUCGCCCGCCGGACGAACCUUCUGAACUUUUCUCAAGGUUGACCUCGGAUCAGGUAGGGAUACCCGCUGAACUUAAGCAUAUCAAUAAGCGGAGGAA
RNAcentral lists this unclassified non-coding RNA (559 nucleotides) under Botryosphaeria dothidea. RNAcentral describes it as "partial contains ITS1, 5.8S ribosomal RNA and ITS2". The stretch from base 186 to 339 matches the Rfam family "5.8S ribosomal RNA". The record is from RNAcentral. Lineage: Eukaryota; Fungi; Ascomycota; Dothideomycetes; Botryosphaeriales; Botryosphaeriaceae.